GAUGAACGCUGGCGGCGUGCCUAAUACAUGCAAGUCGAGCGAACGGACGAUAAGCUUGCUUCUCUGAUGUUAGCGGCGGACGGGUGAGUAACACGUGGAUAACCUACCUAUAAGACUGGGAUAACUUCGGGAAACCGUAGCUAAUACCGGAUAAUAUUUUGAACCGCAUGGUUCAAAAGUGAAAGACGGUCUUGCUGUCUCUUAUAGAUGGUUCCGCGCUGCAUUAGCUAGUUGGUAAGGUAACGGCUUACCAAGGCAACGAUGCAUAGCCGACCUGAGAGGGUGAUCGGCCACACUGGAACUGAGACACGGUCCAGACUCCUACGGGAGGCAGCAGUAGGGAAUCGUCCGCAAUGGGCGAAAGCCUGACGGAGCAACGCCGCGUGAGUGAUGAAGGUCUUCGGAUCGUAAAGCCCUGUUAUUAGGGAAGAACAUAUGUGGAAGUAACUGUGCACAUCUUGACGGUACCUAAUCAGAAAGCCACGGCUAACUACGUG
This 497-nucleotide ribosomal RNA is filed under the name uncultured bacterium. RNAcentral describes it as "partial 16S ribosomal RNA". It matches the Rfam family "Bacterial small subunit ribosomal RNA", at positions 28 to 507 of the family's 1533-position model. The record is from RNAcentral.